GGCUCUUUGAUAAUAAAGAUAAAGAGUUUGACCUGCCCGGUGAUAAAUUAAACGGCCGCAGUAUCCUGACUGUGCGAAGGUAGCAUAAUAACUUGUCUUAUAAUUAAAGAAUGGAAUGAAUGGUUUGACUAGGGUAUAACUGUCUCUUAUAUAUUUUCUAAAAGUUAAUUUUUAAGUUAAAAAGCUUAAAUUUAAUUAAAAGACGAGAAGACCCUAUUGAGCUUAAUAAAGAAUAUGGCUAGUUAUAAUUAUAAUAUAAAUAAAAAUUAGUGUUGAAAUUUUGGUUGGGGCGACUGAGGAAUAAAAAAAGCUUCCUUAAUAAAUUAAGAAAGAUAUUUUUAGAGCCAAAAAAUUUUGAAUUGAGAACAAGUUACCAUAGGGAUAACAGCGUUAUUUUUUUUGAGAGUUCUAAUCGAAAAAAAAGUUUGCGACCUCGAUGUUGGAUUAGGAAUAAGAUAAAGGUUGCAGAAGCUUUAUAUAUUUAGUCUGUUCGACUAUUAAUCUCCU
This 507-nucleotide ribosomal RNA is filed under the name Diplommatina electa A MS-2011. RNAcentral's name for it is "partial 16S ribosomal RNA". It matches the Rfam family "Bacterial large subunit ribosomal RNA", at positions 1817 to 2597 of the family's 2925-position model. The record is from RNAcentral. Lineage: Eukaryota; Metazoa; Mollusca; Gastropoda; Architaenioglossa; Diplommatinidae.